This 185-nucleotide ribosomal RNA is filed under the name uncultured bacterium. RNAcentral's name for it is "partial 16S ribosomal RNA". It matches the Rfam family "Bacterial small subunit ribosomal RNA", at positions 601 to 785 of the family's 1533-position model. The record is from RNAcentral.
CCCGGGGCUCAACCUCGGAACUGCACUCGAAACUGCUUGGCUCGAGUCCCGGAGAGGGUGGCGGAAUUCCCGGUGUAGGGGUGAUAUCCGUAGAUAUCGGGAGGAACACCAGUGGCGAAGGCGGCCACCUGGACGGUGACUGACGCUGAGACGCGAAAGCGUGGGGAGCAAACAGGAUUAGAUAC